AAAAAUAGAAAGGGGCUCAGCAACACCAAUAGCAUAGGAGAGUUGGACAAGGCAGCGGCGAGCCAAACCAGCAGCAACCAAAGAUUUGGCAAUCCAACGAGCAGCAUAGGCGGCAGAACGAUCGACCUUGGAGUAGUCUUUACCAGAGAAGGCACCACCACCGUGAGCACCCCAGCCACCAUAGGUAUCAACAAUAAUCUUACGACCAGUGAGACCAGCAUCACCUUGAGGACCACCAACAACGAAACGACCAGAAGGUUGGAUGUGGUAAACAGUCUUCUCAUCUAACAAAUGAGCAGGGACAGUAGGCUUAAUGAUCUUCUCCAAAAUUUCAGAACGCAAGUCUUCAGUAGAGAUGCUAUCAGCGUGUUGAGCAGAGACGACGAUGGUAUCUACACGACGGGGGAUGACAGCACCGUUUUCCUCUUCAUAUUCAAUAGUGACUUGAGUCUUGGUAUCAGGACGCAACCAUGGAAGAGAUCCAUCACGACGAGCGACAGACAUGGCAGCAUUGAGUUUGUGAGCAAGGAGAAUGGUCAAAGGUAACUUCUCGGGGGUCUCAUCAGUUGCAUAGCCAAACAUAAUACCCUGGUCACCAGCACCGAGCUCUUCCAAAGCCUUCUCAUAGUGAAGACCUUGAGCGAUAUCAGGAGAUUGUUGCUCGAUGGCGACGAGGACGUUGCAAGUCUUGUAAUCGAAACCCUUCUCAGAGUCAUCAUAACCGAUGCUCUUAAUGGUAUUACGAAUAACCUUUUGGUAGUCAAUUUGUGAGCGAGUAGUAAUUUCACCAAAAACCAUUACCAUACCGGUUUUGGAAGCGGUCUCACAUGCUACCUUGGAAAAGGGGUCAUCCUUCAAACAAGCAUCCAAAAUAGCGUCAGAUAUUUGGUCGCAAAUUUUGUCAGGAUGACCUUCACCGACAGAUUCAGAAGUAAACAAAAAAGUUUGAGCCAUUGGGGAAUCCAAGAUACUUGUAAAGGAAAUAUGGAAUCAAAAAACUAGAAAAGAUUGAACAAUAAGACAAGCGAUUAGUUUCGUCAAAUAUAAGGA
Molecule: non-coding RNA, 1050 nt
Organism: Schizosaccharomyces pombe (fission yeast)
Lineage: Eukaryota; Fungi; Ascomycota; Schizosaccharomycetes; Schizosaccharomycetales; Schizosaccharomycetaceae
Source: the annotation of a GenBank genome assembly